Molecule: ribosomal RNA, 253 nt
Filed under: uncultured bacterium
Lineage: Bacteria
Description: partial 16S ribosomal RNA
Rfam family: Bacterial small subunit ribosomal RNA
Source: RNAcentral
UACGUAGGGGGCAAGCGUUGUCCGGAUUUACUGGGCGUAAAGAGCGCGCAGGCGGUCGUUCAAGUCGCGUGUGAAAGCCCCCGGCUCAACUGGGGAGGGUCACGCGAUACUGAUCGACUCGAAGGCAGGAGAGGGUAGUGGAAUUCCUGGUGUAGCGGUGAAAUGCGCAGAUAUCAGGAGGAACACCAGCGGCGAAGGCGGCGCUCUGGGCCGGUACUGACGCUGAGGAGCGAAAGCGUGGGUAGCAAACAGG